GGGGGGAACCCUGAUCCAGCCAUGCCGCGUGUGUGAAGAGGGCCUUUUGGUUGUAAAGCACUUUAAGCGAGGAGGAGGCUACUGGUAUUAAUACUACCGGAUAGUGGACGUUACUCGCAGAAUAAGCACCGGCUAACUCUGUGCCAGCAGCCGCGGUAAUACAGAGGGUGCGAGCGUUAAUCGGAUUUACUGGGCGUAAAGCGUGCGUAGGCGGCUUUUUAAGUCGGAUGUGAAAUCCCUGAGCUUAACUUAGGAAUUGCAUUCGAUACUGGGAGGCUAGAGUAUGGGAGAGGAUGGUAGAAUUCCAGGUGUAGCGGUGGAAUGCGUAGAGAUCUGGAGGAAUACCGAUGGCGAAGGCAGCCAUCUGGCCUAAUACUGACGCUGAGGUACGAAAGCAUGGGGAGCAAACAGGAUUAGAUACCCUGGUAGUCCAUGCCGUAAACGAUGUCUACUAGCCGUUGGGGCCUUUGAGGCUUUAGUGGCGCAGCUAACGCGAUAAGUAGACCGCCUGGGGAG
RNAcentral lists this ribosomal RNA (516 nucleotides) under uncultured bacterium. Its description in RNAcentral is "bacterial SSU rRNA". It matches the Rfam family "Bacterial small subunit ribosomal RNA", at positions 373 to 880 of the family's 1533-position model. The record is from RNAcentral.